Saccostrea echinata is the source of this 3758-nucleotide RNA transcript. It is a transcript of the gene named nucleolysin TIAR-like, with no coding region annotated. NCBI's taxonomy places the organism in Eukaryota, Metazoa, Mollusca, Bivalvia, Ostreida, Ostreidae. The record is from RefSeq and is a predicted model, not a curated record. The transcript is spliced from 14 exons.
CUUUGUGUAUCUAUAAGGCUCCUAUUAGGGAGCAGGUGCUCUCAGAUAGAGAAUUGAGUGGACUUGAUUUGGCUUUUACAGCCGGGUGUUGCAGCGGAACCCAGGAACAAGGAAUCCCAGUGAUUUCCGAGGUUCCAGCUUAGUCUGUUCAUGUGAGAUGUAUUUAUUUUACUAUUGUAUUAUAAUCUUAUUAACUGUGUGUAUUGUUCAGUAACCAGCUGUGGCAGAGACUUUUUGCAGGUUAGACCUUUUUAUCACAUUUUUGUACCUUUUUUGACCCAAUUUCUUUCAGAAGUUGGUUUUAGGACCUCAGACUCAUCCUUCAAACAUUUGCUUCAGUUGAAAUGUUCAGCUUCUUCAUGUCCCCUUUUAAAAACAUUUCUGAAAAAUUGAAUGCCCCUAUUUGAUUAAAAACAACCCUUUUGUCAGAUCUAUGUUCUGUCCCUAUGGGUGCUGUAUAAGGGAGGUAAGCCAAUCUUUAUUAUUUUUUCUGAGGAAAAAAAACCUCAACUGGGGAAAAAGCAGGAAAAGAAAAAGUUGAUGGAAGGUACCAUUUUUCUCUUCUUCUCUGUGUUAUAGCAUUAUUAACCUUCUGUAGAAUUAUCUGAAUUUUCAAACGUGUAAUAGUGUUAAUCAUUCAUUUGAUUCUUAAGGAGAAUGACCUUUGACCUCUCUUUUAUAUACCUCCCUCAAUGAAGAGUUCCAGUUAUGGAGUCGGUAGAAGGGCCAGUGGAUCCAUACUGCUUUGUGGAGUUCUACGACCAUGCCUCGGCCGCUGCAGCCUUAGCCGCCAUGAAUAAAAGGAUGUGUCUGGGAAGGGAAAUGAAGGUGAAUUGGGCCACUUCCCCUAGUAACACUCCCAAACAAGAUACCAGUAAACAUUUUCACAUAUUUGUCGGAGAUUUGAGUCCAGAUAUAGAAACUUCACAGCUAAAGGAAGCUUUCCGAGUAUUUGGUGAAAUCUCAGACUGUAAAAUCAUCCGAGAUCCUCAGACAUUGAAAUCCAAGGGCUAUGGUUUUGUGUCGUAUGUCAACAAAGUGGAUGCUGAGACAGCGAUCAGUAAUAUGAAUGGACAGUGGCUAGGAAGUAGACCAAUCAGAACCAACUGGGCCACCCGAAAACCUCCCGCCCCUGUACCUAAAGAAUCCCAAAUAAAGCAGCUGUCGUAUGAAGAAGUCUACAGUUUAUCUAGUUCUACCAACUGUACUGUUUACUGUGGAGGUAUAGGACCCGGGGUCACAGAAGAAGCAAUAAAGAGUGCAUUCAACACCUACGGCACGAUCCAAGAAAUCCGAGUGUUCAAGGAAAAGGGAUAUGCAUUUAUCAGAUUUUCAAAUAAAGAGUCGGCUACAAAGGCUAUUUGUGGAGUAAAUGGAACAGUAAUUGGAGAAAAUAUGGUCAAGUGUUCGUGGGGAAAGGAAUCCAAUGACCCUAAUCAGUCAGGAGGAGGGGCAGGGUCCCCCUCUCAAAUGUCUCAAUCUGGGUCCCAGGGCCCCUCCCAGUAUGGGGGACAGUAUUACAACAUGGGCUACGGCUACCAACCAGCUUACCCCUCCUACAUGCCUCAGCAGCAGUACAUGCCUCAGGGCUAUGGCUACGGAAAUGGAGGAUAUCAGAUGCAGGGAAUGCAGCCUUAUGGAAUGGUUCCACCUGGAACCCAGCAGCAGUUUCCUGGACAGGGAGGCAUGAUGGGAUAUCCCAUGCAGCAAGGAUUGGGUAGUGUGAUGGCAUUAAGUUAUGUCAAGUCCAGCCCCUGAACACCCAGCGACACGCCAGGGAGUGAAUGUUUGAUGGAGAAAGCCAACAGAAUAUCAUUGAGACCUAGCAAGCUCCAAACAUCUUUGGCUGUUAGAACGGUUUUAUUUGUAAGAAUGUGAUUGGUGCAUUCCUGGUUUCCAAGGAGAUGGACACUUUCUCUGUAGAAAAUCAUUUAAAUGAUGAAAAAAAUGUACAGAUAUAAUUAUGUACUUGUAAAUAUUUGAUAGUGGAUGGAAGAGUCUACAAAUUAUAGACCUAGAUCAUUGUCUGUUCUAUUAAUCUGGGUCACACUCACUUUGCUCAUGUUGAGGAAAUGGAGUUUAUUCUCUUGGUGGCCAUUUUUUACAGACAUACAACGAAAAAGAUUCAAUCUGCAUCUGUUAUUGCUAGAUGUGUUAAUUGUAGACAAAUUAGGAGGGAAUUAGUGGGUACAUGCACAGAUAAAAUUUACAGGCACUCAGGCUUACUUCUCCAUUGAUUUCAUUUUAUUUACUCCUUGGCAAUGUGUUAAAAUAUAUAGUUUUGGUCUUAAUUUACUAUUUUUUCUUGUAAUGCUAUUUAAAAUUGUAAAUUUUCUUUGUUAUUAUAGUUCUUUUUCUAAAAUUAUCCCCAAGAUGUGUAUUUUGUAUUUCAGUUUAGCACUUUUUUUUGGUUGCUAAAUUUUAGGACUUGAUUUAGACUUUAAUACAAAAUUAUCAUUGAUUGAAAAUGAACAUAUUUUGAAGGAAUAAACAUUUAUAUUUUAAUAUGUCAAUGAAUUCAGAAUUUUAGACCUGCUCAAUCUGUUCACUGUUUUUAAUAUGGUUCCACAAUAAUGGUUUUAUUAAAUGUCUCAUUGCAAUUCUGCUGUGUUCAAUGUAGGAUUUUUUCUUUAGAAAUUUUGAUUUUAAUUGAAAAAAGAAAAUUAUAUUUUGGAAAAGCUAAGUUUUUUGUUGUGUAUUUUCAUUGAUAAAUUGGGUGAAUGUUAUUUUCCUGUUUUUGUUAGAAAAAAAUGAAAUAGAAAAUAUAUUUGUUAGUGCCAAUAGAAACUUUUGACCUCUCGUUUUGUAUAGUUAGAUAAUUUAAACUCUGUUAUAAGAUCACUGGUAGACGUAUGUUCAGCUAUUGGAUUAUUUGAGGUGAGUAAUUGCAUUCCAGAUUUUUUUUUCCAGUGGAAACCGAAAGAAUGAUUGUGUAAACAUGUCUCAACUUAGAUAAGCCCCCAAAAUGGGGAGGAAAAGUAGUGUGUUUUAUGUUUCAUGGCUGUGGAGGGAAAUUCAGGCCUUGUAAAUAGAGAUCAUCAUUUUAGCUUGUGAAUUCUCAUAGGUCUAGCCAGAGAAAAAUUUGUGUCAAUUCUCACACUGAUCUUUGGAUCAUUCAUUGUGUCAUGUCUUAUCAAUGUGUCUGGAGUAGAUUAUCAUGAUGUUGAGAAUAUUAUUGUCAUUAUUCUUUUUUUUUUUUGUCCAUGAAUUGUAUAUUUUGUGUAAUGAUAAUUUAUUAAGCUGUUAGAUUAUGUAUCAGCGACAGGAUUUACUGCUUGUUACACCUUGAAAGUUGUGGUCACCAUUUGAAUAUGUUAAUUGGUCAGUUAUAUACCAUGCAAUAAGAAGUUGGACUACGAUCAUUUUGAAUGUUUUAGGUUUUGAAAUGUUAAAAUAUUUAUAUUUUUAUACAGCAUUUCAGGCAGAAAUACAUUGAUUUUUUUUAAUAGAAGGAUAUUGAUUUUAUUUGUUUUGUGAUGUGAAAUGGUUAAUGCUGAUAGCUGUGUUUGCAGUCCAUAGGAGAAAGGCCGUCAUAUCUGGUCAUAUACCUUGUAUAGAAAGUCCUACAUUAUUGUACAUUCUAUUUAUUUAAGACUGAUCCAUCUUCAGAACUGACAAAUUAGUGUCAGACAGAUGCCUUAAGCUUUUACCAUGAUUGUCCAUGGAUGUAAACACAGAAAGCUGCAUACAUCAUCUUGUCUUAUGUCACGUGACCUGCUGUAAUCAUCAUGUCAUGAAUAAAAACAUCCAUCAUCCAG